GCUGGCGGCGCGCCUAACACAUGCAAGUCGAACGAGAAAGGGGAGCAAUCCCUGAGUACAGUGGCGUACGGGUGAGUAACACGUGGGUAAUCUGCCCUUUGGUGGGGAAUAACCCUGGGAAACCGGGGCUAAUACCGCAUAAGUCCGAGAGGAGAAAGCAGCAAUGCGCCGAAGGAGGAGCCCGCGGCCGAUUAGCUAGUUGGUAGGGUAAAAGCCUACCAAGGCAAAGAUCGGUAGCCGGCCUGAGAGGGCACACGGCCACACUGGCACUGAAACACGGGCCAGACUCCUACGGGAGGCAGCAGUGGGGAAUCUUGCACAAUGGGGGAAACCCUGAUGCAGCGACGCCGCGUGAGCGAUGAAGCCCUUCGGGGUGUAAAGCUCUUUCGGCAGGGAAGAUGAUGACGGUACCUGCAGAAGCAGCUGCGGCUAACUACGUGCCAGCAGCCGCGGUAAUACGUAGGCAGCAAGCGUUGUUCGGAGUUACUGGGCGUAAAGGGUGUGUANGCGGUUUGGUAAGUCUGGUGUGAAAUCUCCCGGCUCAACUGGGA
This 551-nucleotide ribosomal RNA is filed under the name uncultured bacterium. RNAcentral's name for it is "bacterial SSU rRNA". It matches the Rfam family "Bacterial small subunit ribosomal RNA", at positions 35 to 618 of the family's 1533-position model. The record is from RNAcentral.